UACGUAGGGUGCAAGCGUUGUCCGGAAUCAUUGGGCGUAAAGCGCGCGUAGGUGGCCACAUAAGUCCGUUGUGAAAGUCCAAGGCUCAACCUUUGAAAGCCGAUGGAUACUGUGUGGCUAGAGUACGGAAGAGGCGAGUGGAAUUCCUGGUGUAGCGGUGGAAUGCGUAGAUAUCAGGAGGAACACCGGUGGCGAAGGCGGCCUUCUGGACGGCUGCUGAGGCUGAGACGCGAAAGCGUGGGGAGCAAACAGG
Molecule: ribosomal RNA, 253 nt
Filed under: uncultured bacterium
Lineage: Bacteria
Description: partial 16S ribosomal RNA
Rfam family: Bacterial small subunit ribosomal RNA
Source: RNAcentral